GAUGAACGCUAGCGACAGGCUUUAACACAUGCAAGUCGAGGGGCAGCACGGUGUAGCAAUACACUGGUGGCGACCGGCGCACGGGUGAGUAAACACGUGUGCAACCAACCCCGUACCGGGAGAUAACCCGCGGAAACGUGGACUAACAUCCCAUAACACUGGAGGAUCACAUGAUCUUUCAUUUAAAAUUCCGGUGGUACGGGACGGGCACGCGCGACAUUAGGUAGUUGGCGGGGCAACGGCCCACCAAGCCGACGAUGUCUAGGGGUUCUGAGAGGAAGGUCCCCCACACUGGAACUGAGCCACGGUCCAGACUCCCACGGGAGGCAGCAGUGAGGAAUAUUGGUCAAUGGGCGCGAGCCUGAACCAGCCAAAGUCGCGUGAGGGAAGAAUGGUCUAUGGCCUGUAAACCUCUUUUGUCAAGGAAGAAUAAAAGGUACGCGUACCUUCUUGCCAGUACUUGACGAAUAAGCAUCGGCUAACUCCGUG
Molecule: ribosomal RNA, 489 nt
Filed under: uncultured bacterium
Lineage: Bacteria
Description: bacterial SSU rRNA
Rfam family: Bacterial small subunit ribosomal RNA
Source: RNAcentral